UGGGGAAUUUUGGACAAUGGGCGAAAGCCUGAUCCAGCAAUGCCGCGUGUGUGAAGAAGGCCUUCGGGUUGUAAAGCACUUUUGUCCGGAAAGAAAUCCUUGGCUCUAAUACAGUCGGGGGAUGACGGUACCGGAAGAAUAAGCACCGGCUAACUACGUGCCAGCAGCCGCGGUAAUACGUAGGGUGCAAGCGUUAAUCGGAAUUACUGGGCGUAAAGCGUGCGCAGGCGGUUUGCUAAGACCGAUGUGAAAUCCCCGGGCUCAACCUGGGAACUGCAUUGGUGACUGGCAGGCUAGAGUAUGGCAGAGGGGGGUAGAAUUCCACGUGUAGCAGUGAAAUGCGUAGAGAUGUGGAGGAAUACCGAUGGCAAAGGCAGCCCCCUGGGCCAAUACUGACGCUCAUGCACGAAAGCGUGGGGAGCAAACAGGAUUAGAUACCCUGGUAGUCCACGCCCUAAACGAUGUCAACUAGUUGUUGGGGAUUCAUUUCCUUAGUAACGUAGCUAACGCGUGAAGUUGACCGCCUGGGGAGUACGGUCGCAAGAUU
This 547-nucleotide ribosomal RNA is filed under the name uncultured bacterium. Its description in RNAcentral is "partial 16S ribosomal RNA". It matches the Rfam family "Bacterial small subunit ribosomal RNA", at positions 355 to 895 of the family's 1533-position model. The record is from RNAcentral.